UAUCAGUAAACGUUUGCCUAU
This 21-nucleotide non-coding RNA is filed under the name Caenorhabditis elegans. The record is from RNAcentral. Lineage: Eukaryota; Metazoa; Nematoda; Chromadorea; Rhabditida; Rhabditidae.